Molecule: non-coding RNA, 112 nt
Organism: Acanthosepion pharaonis
Lineage: Eukaryota; Metazoa; Mollusca; Cephalopoda; Sepiida; Sepiidae
Source: the annotation of a GenBank genome assembly
AGGCCAUAUCACAUUGAAACUACUGGUUCCUGUAUGAUUACUGAAGUUAAGCAAUAUCGAGCUUGGUCAGUAUCUAGAUGUGUGACCACUUAGGAAUAUAAUGUGCUGUAAU